Molecule: ribosomal RNA, 483 nt
Filed under: uncultured bacterium
Lineage: Bacteria
Description: bacterial SSU rRNA
Rfam family: Bacterial small subunit ribosomal RNA
Source: RNAcentral
CUACGUGCCAGCAGCCGCGGUAAUACGGAAGGUCCGGGCGUUAUCCGGAUUUAUUGGGUUUAAAGGGAGCGUAGGCUGGAGAUUAAGUGUGUUGUGAAAUGUAGACGCUCAACGUCUGACUUGCAGCGCAUACUGGUUUCCUUGAGUACGCACAACGUUGGCGGAAUUCGUCGUGUAGCGGUGAAAUGCUUAGAUAUGACGAAGAACUCCGAUUGCGAAGGCAGCUGACGGGAGCGCAACUGACGCUGAAGCUCGAAGGUGCGGGUAUCGAACAGGAUUAGAUACCCUGGUAGUCCGCACAGUAAACGAUGAAUACUCGCAGUGUGCGAUAUACUGUAUGCUGCCAAGUGAAAACGUUAAGUAUUCCACCUGGGGAGUACGCCGGCAACGGUGAAACUCAAAGGAAUUGACGGGGGCCCGCACAAGCGGAGGAACAUGUGGUUUAAUUCGAUGAUACGCGAGGAACCUUACCCGGGCUUGAAC